GGGCCCGCACAAGCGGUGGAGCAUGUGGUUUAAUUCGAAGCAACGCGAAGAACCUUACCAGGUCUUGACAUCCCUGGACAGCCAUGGAAACAUGGUGUUCCUUCGGGACCAGGAGACAGGUGGUGCAUGGUUGUCGUCAGCUCGUGUCGUGAGAUGUUGGGUUAAGUCCCGCAACGAGCGCAACCCUUGCCUUUAGUUGCCAGCAUUAAGUUGGGGACUCUAAAGGGACUGCCGGUGACAAAUCGGAGGAAGGUGGGGAUGACGUCAAAUCAUCAUGCCCCUUAUGAUCUGGGCUACACACGUGCUACAAUGGGUGGUACAGAGGGCAGCGAAGGGGCGACCCGGAGCGAAUCCCAGAAAGCCACUCUCAGUUCGGAUUGCAGGCUGCAACUCGCCUGCAUGAAGUCGGAAUCGCUAGUAAUCGCAGGUCAGCAUACUGCGGUGAAUACGUUCCCGGGCCUU
This 462-nucleotide ribosomal RNA is filed under the name uncultured bacterium. RNAcentral's name for it is "bacterial SSU rRNA". It matches the Rfam family "Bacterial small subunit ribosomal RNA", at positions 917 to 1382 of the family's 1533-position model. The record is from RNAcentral.